This is a non-coding RNA of Clostridium autoethanogenum DSM 10061, 30 nucleotides long. The record is from Rfam. NCBI's taxonomy places the organism in Bacteria, Bacillati, Bacillota, Clostridia, Eubacteriales, Clostridiaceae.
AUUUAAAUACAUCUCAUGUUGAGGUUCAAC